AGAGUUUGAUCCUGGCUCAGGAUGAACGCUAGCUACAGGCUUAACACAUGCAAGUCGAGGGGAAACGACAUCGAAAGCUUGCUUUUGAUGGGCGUCGACCGGCGCACGGGUGAGUAACGCGUAUCCAACCUGCCCAUCACUUGGGGAUAACCUUGCGAAAGUAAGACUAAUACCCAAUGAUAUCUCUAGAAGACAUCUGAAAGAGAUUAAAGAUUUAUCGGUGAUGGAUGGGGAUGCGUCUGAUUAGCUUGUUGGCGGGGUAAUGGCCCACCAAGGCUACGAUCAGUAGGGGUUCUGAGAGGAAGGUCCCCCANAUUGGAACUGAGACACGGUCCAAACUCCUACGGGAGGCA
This 353-nucleotide ribosomal RNA is filed under the name uncultured bacterium. Its description in RNAcentral is "bacterial SSU rRNA". It matches the Rfam family "Bacterial small subunit ribosomal RNA", at positions 8 to 350 of the family's 1533-position model. The record is from RNAcentral.